RNAcentral lists this long non-coding RNA (1955 nucleotides) under Homo sapiens (human). RNAcentral describes it as "HSALNT0157398". The record is from RNAcentral. Lineage: Eukaryota; Metazoa; Chordata; Mammalia; Primates; Hominidae.
CGAUGUCUGUACAGCUACUUAUUUAUUUGAUGCUUACUUAAUUUGUACUUAUUUUACAUGGGGUAGCAAAAAUUAUGCUGCAAUGCCAUUUUGGCUAUCCAGCAAUAUUUAUGGAUCAUUCCCAGGGAUGAAAGCACCUGUCAUCAAUCCUAUGCACUAACAUGGACGGGUCUCCACUGGACUCUGAGCUGCGCCCCAGCCAUGACCUUCCUCUCUGUAAGGUGACACUGCGGAGGGUGCCUCAGAGCAGCAUCACUGCUUUGGACACAGCUUGUGCGCCCCAGGAUGGGGUCUACCCAACCUCUCUCUUGGAUCUUGAUUUCCUUCCAGAUUGAGAGCACAGUGGCCACAGCAGUCCCAGCAUUUCUUAAAUCCCGGACUGUCUUGCUUUUUUCAAGGCGAGAUCUGGGGCCCUGCUUAGUCCUUAUUCCCAUUUCCCAGGGCUUUACCGCAGGUCCCUUGAGUUUGGUGCCAUGAGGAUUCCAGGGCCGAUUUCCAACCUGGCAGCAUCUGAAGGGGCUCUGGACCCUUCUGUCAUAUGACCUGAGGCGGAUUUCAGGCAACAGUGGAGUCUGAGAGGGUUGACUCUCUCUAAGACAAGGCAGAACUGGGCACACCCACGGUUAAUCCAAGACAGUGUGGCCCUGUACCUCCUGGGCCCUCCCAAUUACAGCUAAAACAUUGCAGCAUCUCAGAAGCAUGGGGAGUCCCUGAAAGGAAGAAAGAAGGAGGUGGGCACCCUGGAGGCCUCUGCUCAGCACCUUCCAUGAUCAAUCUCUCAGCAUCAGUAUAGUGUGAUGUCCCCAGCACACAUGUGGCAUAGAAGGAAGAUGGUGGGUGCCUCCGCUCAGCACCCUCCAUGAUCAAGCUGUGAGCAUCAGUAUAGUGUGAUGUCCCCAGCACACAUGUGGCACAGAAGGAAGAUGGUGGGUGCCCUGGAGGCUUCUGCUCAGCACCUUCCAUGAUCAAGCUCUCAGCAUCAGUAUAGUGUGAUGUCCCAGCACACAUGUGGCACAGAAGGACACAUGGCAGCCCCACAGCCAGAUCACACUCAAUAGUGAAGGGCUGAGAGCUUUCCCUCUAACAUCGAGAGCAAGGGUAGGCUGCCCUCCACCAAACACACACUUCUAUUCAGCAUCAAAGUGGAAGAGCUGGCCAGAGCAAUCAGGCAAGAAAAGGAAAUAAAAGGCAUCCAAAGACAAAAAGAAGUAGUUAAAUUGUCUGUUUUCUGAUGACAUGAUCUAAUGUAUAGAAAACCCGAAAGACUCCACCAAAAAACUAUUAGAACCGACAAAUAUCUUAUAACAUUUGUUUCUCUUUAGUAAUAGUAUUUAAAUUUCAUAAUUUUCAUAUUAAACUUUUAAUAACAUUUCUGUAUAUUCUAUUGGACUUUUAAUACAGAAUUAUAUGCACUGGAUAAUGAGGGUGUUAUUCCUUUUUGCAAAAGCUGAUAGAUUUCAUUAUUUUUUUCUUCCUUUAUUAAAUGGGUUAGCACUUCAGCAAUGUACAGAAUAAAUGUGAGCAGAGAAGGCAUCCUCAUCUUGAUUGAGUGAGAAAGAUUUCAACAUUUCUCCAACAAAUAUCAUGAUUCCAUUAUUUUGUAUAUACCCUUUCCUUAAGAUGAAGGGUAUUUAAUUAGAUUUUUAGAAUGCUAUUUUAAAAUUAAUUAUGAAUGACUUUUUAACUAUAUCAAUUUCAUUGUUUAAGGAUAUUUGAAUUUAUAUUCAUGAAUGAGUUUGGUCUGUAUUUUAUUAUUAUCACUUCUCUGUCAAGAUCUGGCAUCAGUUUUUUUUUCUGGCAUGUUAAAUUGGUUAGAGUGUAUUUAAUAAUUCUCUGUUGUCUGAAAAAUUUUGUAAAAAAUUGGUAUUAUUCCUUCAUUAAAUAUUUGGUAAAAUUCACUAAUAUAGUUUCUAUGGUCUGCAGUUUUCAUAAUAGUUUCAUUUUAUUUACAAAUU